Long non-coding RNA from Hibiscus syriacus, 506 nucleotides. RefSeq lists it as uncharacterized. The transcript has 2 exons. NCBI's taxonomy places the organism in Eukaryota, Viridiplantae, Streptophyta, Magnoliopsida, Malvales, Malvaceae. The record is from RefSeq and is a predicted model, not a curated record.
ACAGACCUCAUUAGUAUAUAUAUUUAUUACGAUCUUCUUCAUUUCUCUUAUUACACUCCAAGCUAUUGGCAAAAGGACUCGGUCGAAAAGAGUUUUCUCUGUAAAUUUUAAGAAAUUGCAGAUUCUUCGAUAAAAAAAAUGGCCGUGAAACCAACAGCAGCAUUGAGGGCUUUUCUUUUUGGAGGGAUAGCUGUUUUUGCUAAAGUAGCCGGGGCAAUGAAGGCUGCCGGUGGUGCUAAGCUGGGUGCUGCUGCAGCUGCCAUGACCGUGGCAACAUCUGCUGUUAUGACAGGAUCGAAACAGGACCCAAGAGAUGGAUCUAGGCAACCUCCAAAAUGAUAUGCCUUCUCUUUCUUUCUUUCUUUCAGCAGCUUGUAGACGUUGCUCACAGGGAGCUUGUCAAGAGCAGAUGGCCGUGCUUGGCAUUCCAUUUCUGGUCAUUACCGAGAUUUCUUUUGAAAUCACUUGAAAUAAGAAAAGCCAACACUUCUUAUUUGAAUUAAGCA